GCGGGAAUGGCGGAAUGGCAGACGCGCAAGAUUUAGGAUCUUGUGGGGCGACCCGUGGGGGUUCGACUCCCCCUUCCCGCACCA
Molecule: transfer RNA, 84 nt
Filed under: Planctomycetota bacterium
Lineage: Bacteria; Pseudomonadati; Planctomycetota
Description: tRNA-Leu
Rfam family: tRNA
About the family: Transfer RNA (tRNA) molecules are approximately 80 nucleotides in length.
Source: RNAcentral